CGUAGUCCAGGUCCCAGCCACGAUGUGAUGCAACCGAGAGACUUGCGCUGUAGCUGGUGGCGGUGCUGCACCCUGGGCCGUCCAAAGCUGUGAGCUACGUAACUCUCUCUUAUUAAUAAAGUUAGCCCUCCCCGGGCAGUUAACGGUAGUAAUACCAGAUGGAUUAAUACAUUGUGGCUGGGUGAGAGAGUGAACAGAACCAAGCUAACCUGCCACAGGAGCCGGGAACCAGCCACCCACACCAGCGGAACCAAACUCGUGGCAGAUCUUCAGCAGCGCAGACGUCCUCUUUACCUGUGUACCGCGGGCAGGAACCCUUCCCACAGCUGUGGGUUUCUCUGAGAACAUCCGUAAGCUCACUAACGUGUGCUGAAUGCACCUGACCUGUUGUUUCUUAAGGGUGCUAGGAAUGCUCGUGUCAAUCACCUGGGAAGAUAGGGUCCUCCCACAGGAAGCCGGAUCUUGGAAACUGUGAUUGGUGGCAGAGAAAAAUCCCAUCCUCCCCAGGCUCUACUGUAGAUUUUGGGUGAGCAGAGGCACGGUCUUAAGGAUGUUCCUCUGAGGUGAGAUGGCAGUGGCUCUGUCACUCACUCUCCAGCAACAGGGUGCUUAAUCACAGCAGCAGCAAUGAAAGCAGAACGAUGAUCAGUAAGAGCUGACAGUUGGACGAAAGCCAAGAGUUCAGCACGCGUCACGCAGCACAACUUUAAUCCCACUUCAGCAAGCUACGGACUUGCAAACGCUUUUCCCGGCCCUGACAGGGUUUGUUGUUGUUGUUUGUUUUUUGUUUGCUUGUUUUUACACAAAUGAAGUCGCCUUUUUAACGUGAA
Mesocricetus auratus (golden hamster) is the source of this 830-nucleotide long non-coding RNA. RefSeq lists it as uncharacterized. The transcript is spliced from 2 exons. Lineage: Eukaryota; Metazoa; Chordata; Mammalia; Rodentia; Cricetidae. The record is from RefSeq and is a predicted model, not a curated record.